This 1280-nucleotide ribosomal RNA is filed under the name metagenome. RNAcentral's name for it is "SSU rRNA". It matches the Rfam family "Eukaryotic small subunit ribosomal RNA", at positions 454 to 1758 of the family's 1831-position model. The record is from RNAcentral.
ACAUAGGGAGGUAGUGACAAUACAUACUAAUGCGGGGCUUUUGCCUUGCAAUUGGAAUGAGUACAACUUAAACCUGUUAACGAGAACCCAUCGGAGGGCAAGUCUGGUGCCAGCAGCCGCGGUAAUUCCAGCUCCAACGGCGUAUAUUAACGUUGUUGCAGUUAAAAAGCUCGUAGUUGAAGUUAUGAUAUGUCCUUUUAAAUUUCUGCAUUUUUGCCUUCGGGUGAUGGUGUAGUGUUUUUAGGCAUGUCGUAUUUUUGCUGUUUUGAUGUAAGUGACUUCACUGUUGCUUGCAGCUUGCAGCAUAUUACUGUGAAAAAAUUAGAGUGUUCCAAGCAGAUGUAUAUCUGAAUAGUUCAGCAUGGAAUAAUGGAAUAGGGGAGAUUGCCCUAUCGUUGGUUUUGGGGUGAUUUCUGAUGAUGAAUAGGGACAGUUGGGGGCAUUAGUAUUUAAUUGUCAGAGGUGAAAUUCGAGGAUUUAUGAAAGACUAACUUCUGCGAAGGCAUUUGCCAAGGAUGUUUUCAUUGAUCAAGAACGAAAGUUAGGGGAUCGAAGACGAUCAGAUACCGUCGUAGUCUUAACCAUAAACGAUGCCGUCUAGGGCUGAGUCUUUUUAGAUUCGGACCUUUAGAGAAAUCGCAAGUUUUUGGGUUCUGGGGGGAGUAUGGUCGCAAGGCUGAAACUUAAAGGAAUUGACGGAAGGGCACCACCAGAAGUGGAGCCUGCGGCUUAAUUUGACCCAACACGGGGAAACUCACCAGGUCCAGACAUAGAGAGGAUUGACAGAUUGAGAGCUCUUUCUCGAUCCUAUGGAAAGUGGUGCAUGGCCGUUCUUAGUUGGUGGAGUGAUUUGUCUGGUUAAUUCCGUUAACGAACGAGACCUCAAGAGAGUGUUUUGUGCUUCCUUAUCAAAGGAAUGUCUAUCCGCUCUCGACUAUCGGUUCUUAAGCCGAAGGAAGGUUGAGGCAAUAACAGGUCUGUGAUGCCCUUAGAUGUUCUGGGCUGCACGCGCGCUACACUGAUAGAGGCAAAAAGUGGGACAUUUGCCUUGUUCGGAAGGACUGGGUAAUCUUGCGAAACUCUAUCGUGCUGGGGAUAGAUCUUUGUAAUUAUCGAUCUUCAACGAGGAAUUCCUAGUAAGCGCGAGUCAUCAGCUCGCGUUGAUUACGUCCCUGCCCUUUGUACACACCGCCCGUCGCUACUACCGAUUGAAUGGUUUAGUGAGGUUGGGGGAGGCGGGUCACUUAUGACUCUUCCUAACAGAAAUUGCCGGACCUUAU